This 206-nucleotide ribosomal RNA is filed under the name uncultured bacterium. RNAcentral's name for it is "partial 16S ribosomal RNA". It matches the Rfam family "Bacterial small subunit ribosomal RNA", at positions 568 to 774 of the family's 1533-position model. The record is from RNAcentral.
CGCGUAGGCGGGUGGUCAAGUCAGGGGUGAAAUCCUCCAGCUCAACUGGAGAACAGCCUCUGAUACUGGUCAUCUGGAGGAAGGUAGGGGCAUGUGGAACUUCCGGUGGAGCGGUGAAAUGCGUAGAUAUCGGAAGGAACGCCGGUGGCGAAAGCGACGUGCUGGACCUUUUCUGACGCUGAGGCGCGAAAGCCAGGGAGCAAACG